CUGGAGGUAUCAGAAGUGCGAAUGCUGACAUAAGUAACGAUAAAGCGGGUGAAAAGCCCGCUCGCCGGAAGACCAAGGGUUCCUGUCCAACGUUAAUCGGGGCAGGGUGAGUCGACCCCUAAGGCGAGGCCGAAAGGCGUAGUCGAUGGGAAACAGGUUAAUAUUCCUGUACUUGGUGUUACUGCGAAGGGGGGACGGAGAAGGCUAUGUUGGCCGGGCGACGGUUGUCCCGGUUUAAGCGUGUAGGCUGGUUUUCCAGGCAAAUCCGGAAAAUCAAGGCUGAGGCGUGAUGACGAGGCACUACGGUGCUGAAGCAACAAAUGCCCUGCUUCCAGGAAAAGCCUCUAAGCAUCAGGUAACAUCAAAUCGUACCCCAAACCGACACAGGUGGUCAGGUAGAGAAUACCAAGGCGCUUGAGAGAACUCGGGUGAAGGAACUAGGCAAAAUGGUGCCGUAACUUCGGGAGAAGGCACGCUGAUAUGUAGGUGAGGUCCCUCGCGGAUGGAGCUGAAAUCAGUCGAAGAUACCAGCUGGCUGCAACUGUUUAUUAAAAACACAGCACUGUGCAAACACGAAAGUGGACGUAUACGGUGUGACGCCUGCCCGGUGCCGGAAGGUUAAUUGAUGGGGUCAGCGCAAGCGAAGCUCUUGAUCGAAGCCCCGGUAAACGGCGGCCGUAACUAUAACGGUCCUAAGGUAGCGAAAUUCCUUGUCGGGUAAGUUCCGACCUGCACGAAUGGCGUAAUGAUGGCCAGGCUGUCUCCACCCGAGACUCAGUGAAAUUGAACUCGCUGUGAAGAUGCAGUGUACCCGCGGCAAGACGGAAAGACCCCGUGAACCUUUACUAUAGCUUGACACUGAACAUUGAGCCUUGAUGUGUAGGAUAGGUGGGAGGCUUAGAAGUGUGGACGCCAGUCUGCAUGGAGCCGACCUUGAAAUACCACCCUUUAAUGUUUGAUGUUCUAACGUUGACCCGUAAUCCGGGUUGCGGACAGUGUCUGGUGGGUAGUUUGACUGGGGCGGUCUCCUCCUAAAGAGUAACGGAGGAGCACGAAGGUUGGCUAAUCCUGGUCGGACAUCAGGAGGUUAGUGCAAUGGCAUAAGCCAGCUUGACUGCGAGCGUGACGGCGCGAGCAGGUGCGAAAGCAGGUCAUAGUGAUCCGGUGGUUCUGAAUGGAAGGGCCAUCGCUCAACGGAUAAAAGGUACUCCGGGGAUAACAGGCUGAUACCGCCCAAGAGUUCAUAUCGACGGCGGUGUUUGGCACCUCGAUGUCGGCUCAUCACAUCCUGGGGCUGAAGUAGGUCCCAAGGGUAUGGCUGUUCGCCAUUUAAAGUGGUACGCGAGCUGGGUUUAGAACGUCGUGAGACAGUUCGGUCCCUAUCUGCCGUGGGCGCUGGAGAACUGAGGGGGGCUGCUCCUAGUACGAGAGGACCGGAGUGGACGCAUCACUGGUGUUCGGGUUGUCAUGCCAAUGGCACUGCCCGGUAGCUAAAUGCGGAAGAGAUAAGUGCUGAAAGCAUCUAAGCACGAAACUUGCC
This 1540-nucleotide ribosomal RNA is filed under the name Escherichia coli. RNAcentral's name for it is "partial 23S ribosomal RNA". It matches the Rfam family "Bacterial large subunit ribosomal RNA", at positions 1273 to 2798 of the family's 2925-position model. Lineage: Bacteria; Pseudomonadati; Pseudomonadota; Gammaproteobacteria; Enterobacterales; Enterobacteriaceae. The record is from RNAcentral.